CCUACGGGAGGCAGCAGUGAGGAAUAUUGGUCAAUGGACGGGAGUCUGAACCAGCCAAGUAGCGUGAAGGAUGACGGCCCUAUGGGUUGUAAACUUCUUUUAUCUGGGAAUAAAACAGGGUAUGCAUACCCUCUGGUAUGUACCAUGUAAAUUAGGAUCGGCUAAAUCCGUGCCAACAACCGCGGUAAUACGGAGGAUCCGAGCGGUAUCCGGGUUUUGUGGGUUUAAAGGGGGCGUAGGUGGAUUUUUAAGUUAGUUGUUAAAGUGUGCGGCUCAAACGUGAAAUUGCAGUUGAAACUGGCAGUCUUGAGUACAGGAGAGGUGGGCGGAAUUCGUGGUGUAGCGGUGAAAUGCUUAGAUAUCACGCAGAACUCCGAUUGCGAAGGCAGCUUACUGGACUGCAACUGACACUGAUGCUCGAAAGUGUGGGUAUCAAACAGGAUUAGAUACCCGGGUAGUC
RNAcentral lists this ribosomal RNA (460 nucleotides) under uncultured bacterium. RNAcentral's name for it is "partial 16S ribosomal RNA". It matches the Rfam family "Bacterial small subunit ribosomal RNA", at positions 338 to 795 of the family's 1533-position model. The record is from RNAcentral.